UGUCUUUUCAUCAAGCUAUUGGGGGCAACCACACCAUUUUUUACUGCUAUUUUUGCUUUCUUGAUGACUUGCAACAAAGAACUUGCUGAGGUUUACUGUGCACCUUUGCCCGUGGUUUUUGGGAUUGUUUUGGCUAGUAAUAGUGAGCAUUUGUUUCAUUUAUUUGGGUUCUUGGUCUGUGUUGGUUCAACUGCUGGACGUGCUUUAAAAUCUGUGUGGUUCAAGGGAUGUUGUUAGAAUCAGAAGCUGAGAAGUUACAUUCUAGGCGAGAGUUGACAAAACCCGCGAAACACUUCUUCAUUCCCUCCCUGCAGCUCCACAACUAGAUAGUGCCACAGAGGGCGAGUACUGUAGACAAAGCCAAGUAAAGAGCCCUUUGGAGAGCAUCAAUGCUGCGGGUAAAACAUGUAUUUGCUAGCUAUUAUAGCUAAAGAACUUAGUCAGAGAACAACAAUGAGGAUGCUCUAAAGAGCAAGGAAGACCUCUUUUUUAUUGGAAUCUACAUCAAGGAAAAAUAAAAGUGUUUAGUCUACAUGAGCAAAAAGAAUAAUACAAUUUAAUUUGUUGCUGCAACUGAUACGUUUUUUUUAGUGCUACGGAAACUUUUUUCUCACCAGGAUAAAGCUUACUCUAGAUGAUGCUGUUAUUUCCAGGGCAAACAACAACAUUAAACUAUUUGUUAUUAUCCUCAUCAUAUAACACUUCUUAUGUUUUUGAUUUUCUGUUCAGAAUAUUCAGUCAUUUUUUUUUUUCACAAAUCAUGCCAUCUAAAUCUGGGUCCUUUUUAUGAUCAUCAUGAUUUCAACAGACAUCAUGUAGGCAAAAAUGAAAAUCAAGGCAAGUUUUCUUUUUCUUUUUAUCCUUCUGACAUAUAUUUAAUCAAGUUUAAACAUACAUCAUCUAACCUAAAAUCAACAUCAACUGGAGGGUCGUUACCAUCCGGAAGAAAAGGCAUCAAGAUCAAUAUAGUCAUAUGUUUUUUUGAAGGAUCAUAUGUGAAGUGAUGAUGGAAUCCAUGGGGAAACCUGUUGAUGUUUUUUUUUCUGUCUAAAGGAACACUACAGUGACUAAUUAACAGGAAAGAAAGGUCAGCAACUUGUUUAUCAUUGCAUACCUAACUGGUUGAUGGUGAAAAAAUAUGUUUAUGAAACUAUAGCACGUGUAUUUCUAAGAGUGGUAAUGUCUGCGGUCAUAUUCAUCAUACCAAUCAUCAUUUCAAAAUUGGAAUGACUCAUUGUCAGUUGAGUAUGUGCAUGAGCAGUCAUGACAACAACAGUGGAAUGAAUCAAUGGCAACAAAAAAGAGUAUGUGCAUGGGCAGCCAUGACAAAAACAAUGUUAUUUGAUGAAAAAUUAGAUCAAAAUAGGAAAAAGUGUAUAGAAAAACCUUUAUAGAGCUGCUGCAGAAUGUUUUUGUUUCUUGGUGUCUAGCCUUGAUUCAUCAGGGGAUUCAGAGGUUGUUCAGUCUCUACUGGAGUUUGAAUAGCAUCCUUGAUUUCAGCACGAGGAAGUUUGUUGUUGGGCAAAACAAUGUGUUAGUUAGAGAAAUCAAAGUGCAAAGAUUACUGGACAAAAAGGUGUUGUCUGCAAAUAAGCAAAACCAUGUAUGACUUGUAUCGAACGGGUCAAUAGUGAAGUCUAGCUUUCUCUUUGAAUCUAAAGAGCUAGCUUCUUUUAGCAUGGUAGGGUGCAAAGAAGAAGAUGAACUGCCAGCAUGUGCUGCGAUGGUAAACCAUUAGCUAACAUAUAAACGAAGACCUUUUCAACAAC
This 1769-nucleotide long non-coding RNA is filed under the name Populus trichocarpa (black cottonwood). RNAcentral's name for it is "long non-coding RNA (PTRI_LNC000904)". The record is from RNAcentral. Lineage: Eukaryota; Viridiplantae; Streptophyta; Magnoliopsida; Malpighiales; Salicaceae.